This 33-nucleotide non-coding RNA is filed under the name unclassified sequences. RNAcentral describes it as "DUF805b RNA". It matches the Rfam family "DUF805b RNA". From Rfam's summary of the family: Bacteroidetes, Chlorobi (1 example), Proteobacteria. Lineage (Flavobacteria) The record is from RNAcentral.
UAAGCGGAAUCCGAAAAGCUAGUAGAGUAGGAA